Salvia miltiorrhiza (redroot sage) is the source of this 305-nucleotide long non-coding RNA. RefSeq lists it as uncharacterized. The record is from RefSeq and is a predicted model, not a curated record. Lineage: Eukaryota; Viridiplantae; Streptophyta; Magnoliopsida; Lamiales; Lamiaceae. The transcript has 2 exons.
AGCCAGGCCGCCGUCUCUUCGUCCUCCAUCGCUGCCGUUCGUCGUCGGAUUCGCUGUGAGGAGCCGAGCACCGUCUCACAAAGAUCGGAGACAACGGCAGGUUCACCGCCGCCGCUCCGUCGCCGGCGACGAGCCACCGCGGCUGCCGCCUCCCUCUGAUUUCGACUCACACACACAGUAGGUUCAAGCCACAAUUUAGUUCACAAAAUAGCAUAGGAUUUUGAGCAGAAAUCAAAUACUGUAAAUGCUUAUUGAAAUCUGAAAUUCUUUUCUUGAAACUGAACUAGUCUAUAAAUUUCAGUUCA